RNAcentral lists this ribosomal RNA (478 nucleotides) under uncultured bacterium. RNAcentral describes it as "partial 16S ribosomal RNA". It matches the Rfam family "Bacterial small subunit ribosomal RNA", at positions 28 to 507 of the family's 1533-position model. The record is from RNAcentral.
GAUGAACGCUGGCGGCGUGCCUAACACAUGCAAGUCGAACGGAGUCCAGCCUUAGAGGCCUUCGGGUCAAAGAGGGGAAGCCUGAGUGGCGGACGGGUGAGUAACACGUGGGCAACCUGGCUCAUAGAGGGGGAUAACAGAGAGAAAUUUCUGCUAAUACCGCAUAAGCACACACUGCCGCAUGGCCGAGUGUGAAAAGAGAAUCGCUAUGAGAUGGACCCGCGUCUGAUUAGCCAGUUGGCAGGGUAAGAGCCUACCAAAGCGACGAUCAGUAGCCGAUUUGAGGGGAUGAACGGCCACAUUGGGACUGAGACACGGCCCAGACUCCUACGGGAGGCAGCAGUGGGGGAUAUUGCACAAUGGGGGGAACCCUGAUGCAGCGACGCCGCGUGAGUGAAGAAGUAUUUCGGUAUGUAAAGCUCUAUCAGCAGGGAAGAUAAUGACAGUACCUGAAUAAGAAGCCCCGGCUAACUACGUG